This 465-nucleotide ribosomal RNA is filed under the name Vreelandella stevensii. RNAcentral's name for it is "partial 16S ribosomal RNA". It matches the Rfam family "Bacterial small subunit ribosomal RNA", at positions 338 to 795 of the family's 1533-position model. The record is from RNAcentral. Lineage: Bacteria; Pseudomonadati; Pseudomonadota; Gammaproteobacteria; Oceanospirillales; Halomonadaceae.
CCUACGGGUGGCUGCAGUGGGGAAUAUUGGGCAAUGGGGGCAACCCUGAUCCAGCCAUGCCGCGUGUGUGAAGAAGGCCCUCGGGUUGUAAAGCACUUUCAGUGAGGAAGAACGCCUGGUGGUUAAUACCCAUCAGGAAAGACAUCACUCACAGAAGAAGCACCGGCUAACUCCGUGCCAGCAGCCGCGGUAAUACGGAGGGUGCGAGCGUUAAUCGGAAUUACUGGGCGUAAAGCGCGCGUAGGUGGCUUGAUAAGCCGGUUGUGAAAGCCCCGGGCUCAACCUGGGAACGGCAUCCGGAACUGUCAAGCUAGAGUGCAGGAGAGGAAGGUAGAAUUCCCGGUGUAGCGGUGAAAUGCGUAGAGAUCGGGAGGAAUACCAGUGGCGAAGGCGGCCUUCUGGACUGACACUGACACUGAGGUGCGAAAGCGUGGGUAGCAAACAGGAUUAGAUACCCUUGUAGUC